CUCCAGUUACAGGACAUUCAGAGAAAUCAGGGACAAGAAAUAGUGAAGGUCAUUAAAUUUAUAAUGUUAUAAUAUGCACAUAUGCAAUAAUAAGUUGUUGAAUAACUGUAAUGCAAUAUCUUUACAUUUAUAUAUAUAAUGUGUGUGUGUGUUUAAUUUAAUCUCAACAGAUGGACACAAAAAAAUAUGCAGUGGUGGAAUUUACAGAGGACAGUGCAGUGGAACUAGUCCCAACCUCGUGGUUGGAAGAGACCAAAGAGGGAACGUUCUGUUACUGGACAUUUGGAAACAUAAGGCAGCUUGUAAAAAAAUGCACAAUGCCAAACAAAGGAAAGUGGAGGCGGUGUCUAAUAAAAAAAAAAUUGGCUUUAAUCUACAGUAUCUUCAGUACAGUGAGGAUUGUUAAAAUCAUAUCUAAUUAUCAAGAAAAUUGCUUAAAAAAACAAAACAAACUAUACUUUACACCAACAACAUAUUUUCCAGACUCAUACACCAAAGGUGUCCGGAAAUGCAGGCGUGUUGUGGAGACCUCAAAUAUUGAAACAGAGGACAGCUCCACAAUGAAAAAAAAAGAGGGCACACAAAAAGCCAACAAGAUAUCUGUCUGAAACAGAUUCUUCCUCAGAUGAUGAUAGCAGAGUUUUCCCAACUGAGAAUAAAACCGUUUCAAAACCUCUUCCACCGAAAUAUUAGCCAUUCUCCAAUUUUCAGCCUCUGGACAAUGCAGAAGAAUCACCGCCAGCAUCCCGGCCAUCGUGUAUGGCACAACCCCUUCAAGCUGCCUCACAGCUCCUCUUAGAAGAGCCCCAGUGUUCUUCAGAAGCAGCAACAAAGAACUAUCGCACAAAAGUCUUGCAAAAACUGCAAGACAUUGCAGAAACCCAGCAAGACAUCUUAACGAUGCAAAGAAGCAUUCUGGCUGCUGUUGCUGGGACGGUGACAGUGA
Long non-coding RNA from Megalobrama amblycephala (Wuchang bream), 946 nucleotides. RefSeq lists it as uncharacterized. The record is from RefSeq and is a predicted model, not a curated record. Lineage: Eukaryota; Metazoa; Chordata; Actinopteri; Cypriniformes; Xenocyprididae. The transcript has 7 exons.